CUGAAAGCAUCUAAGCGUGAAGCCCCCUCCAAGAUGAGACUUCCCACAGCGCAAGCUGGUAAGACCCCUCAUAGACGAUGAGGUUGAUAGGUUCGGUGUGGAAGCGCGGUAACGCGUGGAGCUGACGAAUACUAAUCGGUCGAGGACUUAUCCAC
Molecule: ribosomal RNA, 155 nt
Filed under: Brevibacillus sp. 1238
Lineage: Bacteria; Bacillati; Bacillota; Bacilli; Caryophanales; Paenibacillaceae
Description: partial 23S ribosomal RNA
Rfam family: Bacterial large subunit ribosomal RNA
Source: RNAcentral